This 793-nucleotide ribosomal RNA is filed under the name uncultured bacterium. RNAcentral's name for it is "bacterial SSU rRNA". It matches the Rfam family "Bacterial small subunit ribosomal RNA", at positions 8 to 796 of the family's 1533-position model. The record is from RNAcentral.
AGAGUUUGAUCCUGGCUCAGAUUGAACGCUGGCGGCAGGCCUAACACAUGCAAGUCGAGCGGAUGAAGAGAGCUUGCUCUCUGAUUCAGCGGCGGACGGGUGAGUAAUGCCUAGGAAUCUGCCUGGUAGUGGGGGACAACGUUUCGAAAGGAACGCUAAUACCGCAUACGUCCUACGGGAGAAAGCAGGGGACCUUCGGGCCUUGCGCUAUCAGAUGAGCCUAGGUCGGAUUAGCUAGUUGGUGAGGUAAUGGCUCACCAAGGCGACGAUCCGUAACUGGUCUGAGAGGAUGAUCAGUCACACUGGAACUGAGACACGGCCCAGACUCCUACGGGAGGCAGCAGUGGGGAAUUUUGGACAAUGGGCGCAAGCCUGAUCCAGCAAUGCCGCGUGCAGGAAGAAGGCCUUCGGGUUGUAAACUGCUUUUGUCAGGGAAGAAAUCUUCUGGGCUAAUACCCCGGGAGGAUGACGGUACCUGAAGAAUAAGCACCGGCUAACUACGUGCCAGCAGCCGCGGUAAUACGUAGGGUGCGAGCGUUAAUCGGAAUUACUGGGCGUAAAGCGUGCGCAGGCGGUUAUGUAAGACAGAUGUGAAAUCCCCGGGCUCAACCUGGGACCUGCAUUUGUGACUGCAUCGCUAGAGUACGGUAGAGGGGGAUGGAAUUUCCUGUGUAGCGGUGAAAUGCGUAGAUAUCAGGAGGAAGGCCUGUGGUGAAGAUGGCCCUCUGGGCAAUGACUGACGCUGAGGCGCGAAAGCGUGGGUAGCAAACAGGAUUAGAUACCCUGGUAGUCC